AACGAACGCUGGCGGCAUGCCUAACACAUGCAAGUCGAACGAGACCUUUGGGUCUAGUGGCGCACGGGUGCGUAACGCGUGGGAAUCUGCCCUUGGGUUCGGAAUAACAGUGAGAAAUUGCUGCUAAUACCGGAUGAUGUCUUCGGACCAAAGAUUUAUCGCCCAGGGAUGAGCCCGCGUAGGAUUAGCUAGUUGGUGGGGUAAUGGCCUACCAAGGCGACGAUCCUUAGCUGGUCUGAGAGGAUGAUCAGCCACACUGGGACUGAGACACGGCCCAGACUCCUACGGGAGGCAGCAGUGGGGAAUAUUGGACAAUGGGCGCAAGCCUGAUCCAGCAAUGCCGCGUGAGUGAUGAAGGCCUUAGGGUUGUAAAGCUCUUUUACCAGGGAUGAUAAUGACAGUACCUGGAGAAUAAGCUCCGGCUAACUCCGU
This 432-nucleotide ribosomal RNA is filed under the name uncultured bacterium. RNAcentral describes it as "partial 16S ribosomal RNA". It matches the Rfam family "Bacterial small subunit ribosomal RNA", at positions 29 to 506 of the family's 1533-position model. The record is from RNAcentral.